UGGGGGGGAUGUUAAGGAAGAUCUUGAUGAGGUCUCAUUCGUAGUCGAUGUCAAGUGAUCUGUAGCAACUUUUGCCAUGUCACCAUCAUCAUCUUAAUCCGAUCCCUGGGGGGAUGUUCAGAAAAACCCAAAUGAGGUCUUGUUCGAAGUCGAUGCCAAGUUGAUCUGUGGUAAUUUUUGCCAUGUCGUCAUUAUCAUCUUAAUCGAAUCUUGGGAGAAUGUUCGGGAAGAUUCCGAUGAGGUCUCAUCCGAAGUCGAUGUCAAGUUGAUCUAUGAUAAUUUUUUCAUGUCACCAUCAUCGUCUUAAUCUGAUCCUUGGG
RNAcentral lists this long non-coding RNA (320 nucleotides) under Elaeis guineensis (African oil palm). RNAcentral describes it as "long non-coding RNA (EGUI_LNC041295)". The record is from RNAcentral. Lineage: Eukaryota; Viridiplantae; Streptophyta; Magnoliopsida; Arecales; Arecaceae.